This is a long non-coding RNA of Prosopis cineraria, 299 nucleotides long. RefSeq lists it as uncharacterized. The transcript is spliced from 2 exons. The record is from RefSeq and is a predicted model, not a curated record. NCBI's taxonomy places the organism in Eukaryota, Viridiplantae, Streptophyta, Magnoliopsida, Fabales, Fabaceae.
AGCAUGGGUCAGUCGAAGCUGAUAGCUGCGGUACUGGUAGCUUUUUUCCUUCUGGGUCACUUUACAGCAGCCUGGUCCCCUCAUCCCUGUGAAGGAGAGGAGGAGAGUUUGAAGAGGAAGAUAAUAGAGAGGUCAAGAAGAAGAGUUCUGUCACCGCCUCCUGCCCCUGCCAGAAAUCGAGCCUCUUCACAGAGUGCCCCGGCUCCUCCUCCUUCGCCUCAUCUCUGACUAUGAUAUCUCUACUCUACCUACCUACUAUCUAUUUUUCAAACAUUAAAUAAAUGUGUCUUGUACUUGUC